Molecule: long non-coding RNA, 3121 nt
Organism: Carassius auratus (goldfish)
Lineage: Eukaryota; Metazoa; Chordata; Actinopteri; Cypriniformes; Cyprinidae
Exons: 3
Source: RefSeq, a predicted model, not a curated record
CGUCCGCCUUGCUAUGAGAGGAAUAACAAUGUAAUUAAUACGUUAGAUUAUAAAAGCAAACGAAUUAGAAUACAUACGUGUCCUUGGACAACAAGACUAAUAGUCAUAAGGGUAUAAAGGGUAAUUUCCCUUUUUGAUAUUUUAGGUAAUUUAGAUAAUAUUUGGGUUGCCAGUCUAAUACUACAUUACAUCAUGUUUGGAAUUGGUUUUAUAACCUUAAAAUGUCAAAACAUGGUUAAAAAAUUAGAUGAAGUUUUAUCCUCAUGUAGCCUAAUCAGUCAAUCCAGAGAGCAACUUUAGCUCUCUAUUUCUAUCCUGUCUGGCAUCCAAUUUUAUGUAAAUAAUCAACUGUUUAAUUGAUUUUUUAAAGGUUGUAGAGUUCAUAAGGUUCUGCAUAACAGUAAUAACCCAAUUACAGAUCCAUUACAAUGGUAAAUCCAAUCCAAAUAUGGAAAAAAGAAUAUACUUAGAGCAAGGAAUAUGUAUAAAUAAGAUGUUCAAUUAUUAAAGUAAACAAACUGUAUCGCAUAUUUCAUUCUCUGAUUGAAAGAUCAAAUGGGUAUCUGACUUUCCAUGUCUCAAACAAACAUGUGUUAAUAUUUUGGAUAAAAUGUUGAACUCACAAGCUUUAAAGAUGGAAACAUUUGAACAAUCUGGACAUUAAUCACUCUCUAUUCAGUUUAUAGUGUUUCUGUGUUGUCAAUAUCACUUUCCAUUCUGUUAGUCUUGUCAUAGGCUAUCCAAAAGUCUGGUAAUUUCCAAAAGACAAUGAAAUCAUUCUCAAGAAGCAAACAACAGUUGCAGAGUUUAUACGGUUCUGCAGAGCAGCAAUGACCCAAAUGGAGAGCCAAUGCAAUGGUAACUUGUUGCACAACUGAUGGCUGUGAGUAAAUGUGAUUUUAAAACCCUCACAUUCCUGUGCGCACGCCAACACAACGUCACGCGCCACUGCAUCCCUUUACCUCUUCCAUAACCUAAAAAAACCGCUGGAAUGAGCUUCUGACUUCCCAGCAGUUCUUAGGGAGUUUUUACUGAUUUAAUCAGUAGUGCUCUUGGGAGCCGUGUGUGUCUGGAAUAUCCACGCUGGUAGAUUAUUCACCCGCGCUGGACUUCGUUCAGCCUCGAAGCCUGAUUCAUCCCUGCCAAGAGAACAUGUGAUUCAUGACGGCUGGCAAAAUUAUGGAAAGUCCCUUUGCGAAGACCACGUGGUUCUGCCUUUCCAAAUUUCAGGGUUUUUAUGCUCCGUUUAUGCAUUACCGAAACAGAGUUGGCCUAUAAUUUUGAUUGGCUGCAUGUAGGUCAUAGGUGCAACUCUUCCAAAAUGAAAGCAAACAUUACGAUUAUGUUGCACAGGGAAAUUAGGAAUUAUGUCAACAUUGCAGCAUCACAGUUUUCCCCUCUCUUCGUCUGUCUGAAGGUUCAGCACAAAAGACGAGGUGAUUCAAGAGCCGCAGGCACCGACUGGGACUUGUUUUUGCAGGCACUCAUGAGGAAGUAAGAGAGUUAGGCAUGUACCUCACCCAUCCGUGGAAAAACAAACCAAGCCUAAACUGGCAGCAGGCCAGAGAUCUGUGAACACGCUCUGCUGGACGAGUCGCUGCAAUGCCAAAAACACGCUGACAGCGAGUGCAUGUUGCAGAAACAUGAUCACUGCUGCUUUGUGCAUUUCUGUUUUGACAGCAGAAGUUACAGCAGGCGGUCAGGAAGGGAUGCAUGCUGCUAUAAUGUGUCUAAAACCAAGAUAAAAGGAAACUAUGUAAAUGCAUGGGUCAUGUAAAUCUCCUUUCGCGAACAACGCCAAAGGUGUUGCAACACAUAACAUUACGCCUGUCAAUGCACCACCGUGAAUAUACAACAUGCAUUUCAGUUCCACCUAAAAGCACGAGUCAGCAACAGCAGGGAAUGUGAAUGACACGCAGAACAAUGUUAGCCUUUUCUGCAUUCAGAUGGAAUGCAUUGUUCACUGUUAUGGCUUUAAAGUGCAGGAUAAACACUUUCUGCUCGACGUAAUCCUCUCCAGUGACUAACGUGCGAGAUUAGAGCACAUGUUGCUUACUGGCGUUUUCUCUGGGCUUUCUCUUGUCAUCAUGCCAUCAGGUUUUCUAGGUAAACCUCCCCCUCCUAAGGCUCUUAGUAAAGCUGGUUUAGCAGAAUUGGAACAUCCCUCACCUAAGGCCUUGUCUUGAGAAACUCACCUCUAGUUACUCUGAUUGGCCGGCUGAUUUUAUUUCUGUAGUCUUGUCUAGUCCGCUCCAUAUUUUACGCAAUCUAGUGUACAGGGAUAAUGCGUGUAGACGGGCAGCAGACUUGUGAAGGGAUAAGAUAAGGGUUUAUAGUGACAGAAGUUUACUAGAGCCCACAGAGAACACAGACCCAACUAAUGCACAUGUAAGUGAAAUGAAACCCUAAAAUAAUAAUAAUCAUAGCAUACAGGAAAAAAAUAUGCACUUUUAUAUAUAAGAACUUGUUGUAUUCAUAAUGUCUAAAUCAUUUUGGAUAAAAUAAUCUGCUAAAUAAAUACAGAUGUAAAUAUAUGUUAUACAUACAUGCAUUUAGGUGAUGAAUAUGGUCUUAAAUUCACACUCUAUGAGCUCAAAUUUAAGGGUAUUCUCAUCACAAUUGGAGCAAAGGUUAAAUAAUGUCUGCUCUUUACUAUGCAUCUCCCAUUUUUUUCAAGGGACCAUUAGGAAUUGGAAAACUGACUCAAACGCUGGUCAAUGGACGGAUGUGGCGUAUAUACUAUUCGUUCAUUAUUUCUACAUCAAUUAAGCAGGUAAAAGGUGUAGGGUUGAUUCUGAGUGUGUUGUUUGCUUUUGGAAGCUGUUGCAUCAUGCAGUCAAAGGAUCUCUCCAUACAAGCGAAACCAUUCAGAAACCAAACGAAUCCAUCAGGGAGACAGCAGGAACAUUAGGAGCGGCCAAAUCAACAGUCUGAGCUAAAGAGCACUGGGAACUACUUAAGCAAAAGGAAAGCAGAGCAGAGCAAGAAAACAAUUCGGUGCUCCACAGACUUUAAUAAGCGCCUUCUGAGGUUUCCAGGAAUUGUGGGCAGACGGAUCCAUUGCACAUGUGCUCCGACAGCAGGACCGAGUGCAUGCGGCCCUCUUAAAUACUCACAUGGG